Molecule: ribosomal RNA, 252 nt
Filed under: Azomonas agilis
Lineage: Bacteria; Pseudomonadati; Pseudomonadota; Gammaproteobacteria; Pseudomonadales; Pseudomonadaceae
Description: partial 23S ribosomal RNA
Rfam family: Bacterial large subunit ribosomal RNA
Source: RNAcentral
UUAGUACGAGAGGACCGGGUUGGACGAACCUCUGGUGUUCCGGUUGUCACGCCAGUGGCACUGCCGGGUAGCUACGUUCGGAAGAGAUAACCGCUGAAAGCAUCUAAGCGGGAAACUUGCCUCAAGAUGAGAUCUCACUGGAGCCUUGAGCUCCCUAAAGGGUCGUCGAAGACUACGACGUUGAUAGGCAGGGUGUGUAAGCGUUGUGAGGCGUUGAGCUAACCUGUACUAAUGGCCCGUGAGGCUUGACCA